Molecule: long non-coding RNA, 5242 nt
Organism: Felis catus (domestic cat)
Lineage: Eukaryota; Metazoa; Chordata; Mammalia; Carnivora; Felidae
Exons: 2
Source: RefSeq, a predicted model, not a curated record
AACCGACUGACCCACCCAGGCGCCCCUAAUUUCUUAAUUUUUUUUUUACGUUUAUCAGGAUUGUUUUAGUAAGUUUCAUGUAUCUAUCAGCUAAAACCUGUUUAAUAGUGAUUUCCCAUAGCAAGUGUUUCUAUUUUUUGGUUUUUCCCCCAAAUCGUAUUUAUCAGUUCUUUCUUUUUUCUGAUUAUAAAAAUAAACCCCAAAAGUAUUAAACAGCAUAAAGAAAAAAAACCCAAAGAAAAAAAACCCAAAUAUGUAUAUAUGUGUUAAUAUAGCUGUCUUUUUCUUUAAAUAAAUUCUUAAUGUUAACUGGACAUAGAGUGUGGUCAUAUUUAAAGAUUUGGAAAAAACUGACAAAUUGUAUUUUUUAAUGGCCGAAGGACAUGAAUUUAAAAAAAUGACAGACUAGAAAUGCAAAUAGGACUUUAUUAAAUUUUAAACGGCAGGUCAUUUUUAGCUGUCAAAUAGAACUUUGUGCAUUCAUUCAAGUGCUGGCCAUGUAUCAGACACCAAGCAAUUGCCCCUCACCCCCCCGCCCCCCAAACAAUGAAAGAAAAAACACAAUAGAUAUGGCCUCAUGGAACUUUUAGUCUGAAGGAAAUACACCAUUUAUUGAACCCUUUUUGUGUGCCGGGAGUACACAAAGCACUUACAAACACUAUUGCAUCUAUUCUCAAAACUCUAUGAGGUGGGUAUUUUUACCUACUGAAUGAGGAAGCAGAUGUUCAGAGACUGACUUGUAUGAGUCACAUGGCUAUACAGGCUGUGGGUGGAAGUCCAACCCUGACUAACUCCAAAGAUCUCACCAUUAGCUUCUGGGUGAAGGAAUAUUGGAAAGCCUAAAAUCAAUGGAGGAAACUUUUUUCAAUAUAUUUCAAAAAAUUAAAUAAAUGAGUCUGUAUGGUUAGGGUGUAGUGAAAGAGGUUCCCUCGUGUUGCUAGAGUAUAAACGGAUACAUCCUUUCUGCAAAGCAAUCUGGUAAAAUAUUAGAAGUCUUAAAGUAUUUUCAUCCCCUUUACCUGGAAUUCUGUUGUUUUAACUCUACCCUAAGGAGAGAAUCAGAAAUGUGAUUAAAGAUUUAUGUACAAUUGGUGGAAUAUUUGAUAAAAAAUUGUGUGUGUGUGUGUGUGUGUGUUGCAGAUUAAGUGGCAAAAUCGUGGAAUGUCUGGAAUUUGCCGCAUCAUAAACUAGGAGAGGAAAAAUCGAUUGAAGCUGGAUGUUGGAUACAUAUACCAUUUAUACUCAGAAAAAAAAUUUAUGGAAGACAACAACCCCCCCAUCUAUGACAGGUCCCUUAUUAUUGUCACUGUCAGAGGUGGGUCACUGGUCUGAUCAGCCAACGGAACCAAUGUGAGCCAGUAACAGUUUGGAGUCAUAUAUUAGGACAUCACUGGCAGAGAGGAAAUCAAACUGUUAGCUUGGUCAUUUAUACCCUAUACUUCUGCAAGGCACAACCAGUUGUGUUUUUGUGAGACACUUCCAUUAUCCAGUGAUGGAAGUAUGUGAAAACAUGUAUCCAUCCAUCAUCCAGCUUCAAUCCAUUUUUCCUCUUCUAGUCUAGUUUAUUUUGGGGCAAAUUCCAGACAUGGCAUGAUUUUAUCACUUAAUCUGGAAGACACACACACAAUUUUUUAUCAAAUUAACAGCUCUGCCUUAACUCUUCGGGUGUUUUGGAAUUUUUUGUCUUUAAAAAACAUUCUAUUUUUGUUCUCACAUAUUCAUGCAUUUAGUAAGACCUGCUCUGUGCCAGGUACCAUGCUAGGCUUGCUUUAAAAGAUGAAAAGAACAGAAUGCCUGCACUCAAAGAAGCUCAGUUUAGUGAGAGAGGCCAACAUAGAUAGUUGUUAUGUUGUGUACGAAGACUGUGGGUAGAGGUAAGCUCAGGAUGGACCAUCAAGCUCAAGCUGGGGGCCCACAGUCUUUCUGGAAGUCACCUGCUGCUAAGGUCCUUUACUUAGCAGUUCACUUUCUAGGUAUAGUAUAAAUGGUGUGGUCAUCUUCCCCACACAAUUUAAAGUAGAUUUUAUUAUUCUGCCCUUAAUUCCAGGCUUUUAUGGUAUCCUUAAUGAGAUUUUUUUUUAAGUUAAUUUGAGAGAGAAUGUGUGCAUGCUCACACAUGAGUGGGGGAGGGGCAAAGACAGAGGGAGAGAGAGAGAGAGAGAGAGAGAGAGAGAGAGAAUCCCAAGCAGGCUCUUUCCUGUCAGCACAGAGCCGGAUGGGAGGCUCUAAUAGACCCCUAAUACCAAGAUCAUGACCUGAGCCGAAAUCAAGUCAGAUGAUCAACAAACUGAGCCACCCAGGCGCCCCAUGAUUUUUUUAAUAGUUUUACUGGUUGGUCAAGAUGUGACUUUUACAUUCAGAUCCUACUUGUUUACUUCACUGUGUACAGCUUUUCCUCAGAGAAAUGUGAUCAUCAUAUUUCAAAUACCACAGACUUCCUCGGUUCCAUUGCCUGCAAGCUGAACUUUCAACUGUAAUUGCUAGAAUUUGUCUUUAUCGUAGUACUAACUUUCUAAAAUAGAAAUCAGCAGAAAAUUAAUAUGAGAAAAAGACAACUUUUUUUUCUGGAGCUCAAAACUAAUGGCCUCAAGGGGCAAUUAAAAAAAAAAAAAGUAUUAGAGCACUUUUCAAGAGUGUAAGAUCAAUGAUAGCUAUUGCUUAUAUCUCGUGAAAAUGAGUUGCAGAUCCGGUGAUGCCUUCUAGAAAUAUAAUUUUUACUUGGUAUUGUUUAUAAAAACAGGAAACAUCAUUCCUCCGCCUAUAAGAUGCAAUAUUAACCAAAUGGCUUAAGUACCAUGCUUCAUUAUCUUCUUCCACUUUCUGAGGAUCUGAUUUGAAACAAAGCACACAGCAGAAAUAAAAGAGAAGUAGAAAAAAUAGCUCAGUAGCAAUUAAGACCAUUGAAUUAGAGCUGGUGCUAGGAAAUAUGACUCAACCUGUAGGAUUACAGAAAAUCUUCAAACAUUAAUUCCAUGGCUCCAUCUACUAGAGGAAUCCUAUCCUCUCUUUGCCCCUUCAGAGAUCUGAUGAAGAAAUAUCCAUUUCUUCACUGAAAUCAAGUGGUUCAUUAGCAACAGAGCCAGGAAAUAUUUUCACAGAAGGUAGGUUUUACAUCGAGUUUGGAAGGUAGAGGUUCAGGGGUGCCUGGGUGGCUCAGUCGGUUGAGCAUCUGACUCGAUUUCAGCUCAGGUCAUGAUCCCAGGGGCAUGCGAUCAAGCCCCACGAUGGCCUCCGUGCUGAGCAUGGAGUCUGCUUGCGAUUCUCUCUCUCUCCCUCUGCUCCUCCCCUGAAAAAGAGGAACUCAGGAAAAGGAGUACUCCGAAAAAUUAAGACUUGCUUCCUGGGUUGUCUGAAUCCAAGUCCAAUGUCUACCACUGUAUAUAUAUAUAUAUAUGUGUGUGUGUGUGUAUAUAUAUAUAUAUAUAUAUACACAUAUAUAUAUGUGUGUGUGUAUAUAUAUAUACACAUAUAUAUAUAGUGUGUGUGUGCUAUAUAUAUAUGUGCGAUAUAGAUACAGAUAUAGAUAUAGAUAUAGAUAUAGAUAUAGAUAUAGAUAUAGAUAUAGAUAUAUCUACUACGAUUUCCCCUGUCUGGGCACUGUGCAAGGUUCUAGAGGUAACAUUAGGAAUAACAUCAUCCUGGCCUUGAAGAGCUGACAGUAUAGUGGGAAAGACAGAUAAGUCACACAUAGUGGGGUACAACAAGGGAAGCACACGUCAUUGGCAUGGGUUACAUGUUACAGGAGCACCUUUAAAUGAGUCGAUAGGGCAACGCUGCUUGUUCUGAGGUUGUGGCAGUCGGGGGGGGUCAGUGAGUCUUCACAGGAGAGAGAGCACUUCAAGUAGGUCUUCAAGAAUGAAGAGGAGUUUCUCUGGCUCUGGGAUUCAGAGAGAGGAUGACUGUAGACAGAAAUAGCAUCUUCGAAUGCACAGCAUCCUAAACGGGAUGGGCCGUGAGAUGACCCCAAGAUUCUGACUGUGGUGAACAAGUGAACAAGAAAAGGAGCAAGUGUAAGAGAGUGAGGGAAGGACAGGAUAUAAUGAGUUUAGUUUGGAGCUUGUUGAAUUUUAAGUGUGUGUGGGUAUUCCAAGUAGAAAUGUCCAGGCAGCAGUCGAAUGUAUAAUUUCAAUCUGGAGCUUUCAAGAGUGUUGGUAAGUAGAAAUACAGAUCUUGGAGUCACUUGUGAGUGAUGGUGCAACCAGUGGAGAUGGUUGAGGUCGCCUAGGGGACAUGUAAUUCAAGAGGAGCAGAUAAUGGAAGAUGGCAUUCUGGAGCACCAACAGAAGCUAGCAGUUCUGUGGUGAUACAACUAAUGCAACCACUUAUCUGCUUUAUGGAUUAAAUGGGCUAUUACAAGUUGGCCCAAUACCCGCUCCACCAUUUAUAAAACUUCCCAUGUAAAAGUGCAGAGUAAGUUCAAACAACUUACAGAAGUAUUUGGAGCCACAAACUGUAAGUUAGACUUCCCUUCACUUAUCCUAAAUGUAUCAUUUUAGCCUGUGGCUCCAAGGUACUGGAACUUGGAAACUGAUUCCAAGUGUAACAUGCCCACACACUGCGUUUCUAUUGCAUUGAGAAUAUCUUAAGCCAUAUUUUAUAUGUCAAGUCUACUUGAUUCAUUUCUUUUAUAUUUUAGAGAGAGAAAGAGAGCAGGAUAGAAGGGCAGAGAGAGAGAGAGGGAAUCUUAAGCAAGCUCCACACUUAGUGUGGAGACCAGCUCGGGGCUCCAUCCCACGACCCUGGGAUCACGACCUGAGCUGAAAUCAAGAGUUGGACGCUCAACCAACUGAGCCACCCAGGAGCCCUUAUUUGAUUCAUUUGUAACUAAAGUAGGAUGACAUCCAACCUUUGCCAUUAAAAUAGAUCAACUAUGAGUGACUGUCGUUGCCUGGCAGGAUGCUAAUUGUUCUUUCUUCCCCUCUGCCACGAUGAUUGGCACCAGAGAAGAUUUGUGGGUGUGGUGAGUUUUGAACUCAAGUAGGACCUUUUCAGGAACUAAUAUUGGUGUCAAAGGAGCAAUUGCUUGCAGAUGGAGUGAGGCUCUCAAUUCUCUAUUAUUAUUCUAUAAUUAUAUUACUAUUCUAUAAUUCUUGGUCUUGUGAAUACUUGUGAGGUGACUGCCUAUUUUCCUUUUGUUUCAAGUCCACUCGAAAGAGUUAAACUCUCCUCUGUUCCUCAGUAUGUUUAAUGCAUGUGACUAUAAUUAGAGACCAAAAUAUAAUUACUAUUUGGCACAUCCUGA